GAUGAACGCUGGCGGCGUGCCUAAUACAUGCAAGUCGAGCGAACAGACGAGGAGCUUGCUCCUCUGACGUUAGCGGCGGACGGGUGAGUAACACGUGGAUAACCUACCUAUAAGACUGGGAUAACUUCGGGAAACCGGAGCUAAUACCGGAUAAUAUAUUGAACCGCAUGGUUCAAUAGUGAAAGACGGUUUUGCUGUCACUUAUAGAUGGAUCCGCGCCGCAUUAGCUAGUUGGUAAGGUAACGGCUUACCAAGGCAACGAUGCGUAGCCGACCUGAGAGGGUGAUCGGCCACACUGGAACUGAGACACGGUCCAGACUCCUACGGGAGGCAGCAGUAGGGAAUCUUCCGCAAUGGGCGAAAGCCUGACGGAGCAGCGCCGCGCGAGUGAUGAAGGUCUUCGGAUCGUAAAACUCUGUUAUUAGGGAAGAACAAAUGUGUAAGUAACUAUGCACGUCUUGACGGUACCUAAUCAGAAAGCCACGGCUAACUACGUG
RNAcentral lists this ribosomal RNA (497 nucleotides) under uncultured bacterium. RNAcentral describes it as "partial 16S ribosomal RNA". It matches the Rfam family "Bacterial small subunit ribosomal RNA", at positions 28 to 507 of the family's 1533-position model. The record is from RNAcentral.